RNAcentral lists this ribosomal RNA (591 nucleotides) under Acinetobacter baumannii OIFC109. RNAcentral describes it as "bacterial SSU rRNA". It matches the Rfam family "Bacterial small subunit ribosomal RNA", at positions 28 to 614 of the family's 1533-position model. The record is from RNAcentral. Lineage: Bacteria; Pseudomonadati; Pseudomonadota; Gammaproteobacteria; Moraxellales; Moraxellaceae.
AUUGAACGCUGGCGGCAGGCUUAACACAUGCAAGUCGAGCGGGGGAAGGUAGCUUGCUACCGGACCUAGCGGCGGACGGGUGAGUAAUGCUUAGGAAUCUGCCUAUUAGUGGGGGACAACAUCUCGAAAGGGAUGCUAAUACCGCAUACGUCCUACGGGAGAAAGCAGGGGAUCUUCGGACCUUGCGCUAAUAGAUGAGCCUAAGUCGGAUUAGCUAGUUGGUGGGGUAAAGGCCUACCAAGGCGACGAUCUGUAGCGGGUCUGAGAGGAUGAUCCGCCACACUGGGACUGAGACACGGCCCAGACUCCUACGGGAGGCAGCAGUGGGGAAUAUUGGACAAUGGGGGGAACCCUGAUCCAGCCAUGCCGCGUGUGUGAAGAAGGCCUUAUGGUUGUAAAGCACUUUAAGCGAGGAGGAGGCUACUUUAGUUAAUACCUAGAGAUAGUGGACGUUACUCGCAGAAUAAGCACCGGCUAACUCUGUGCCAGCAGCCGCGGUAAUACAGAGGGUGCGAGCGUUAAUCGGAUUUACUGGGCGUAAAGCGUGCGUAGGCGGUUAUUAAGUCGGAUGUGAAAUCCCCGAGCUUAACU